AGAGAGAGACAUGCGCGCAUAUCAAUAAGCGGAGGAAAAGAAACUAACAAGGAUUCCCCUAGUAACGGCGAGUGAAGCGGGAAGAGCUCAAAUUUGAAAUCUUAAAGGUUUUCCCUUGACGAAUUGUAGUUUAAAGAAGUGUUUUCUGUUGGAGUUUUGGUAAAAGUUCUUUGGAAUAGGACAUCAUAGAGGGUGAGAAUCCCGUAUUUGACCAUUACUUUCAGCUUUGUGAUACACUUUCAAAGAGUCGGAUUGUUUGGGAAUGCAGUCCAAAAUGGGUGGUAAAUUUCAUCUAAAGCUAAAUAUUGGCGAGAGACCGAUAGCGAACAAGUACCGUGAGGGAAAGAUGAAAAGAACUUUGAAAAGAGAGUUAAACAGUACGUGAAAUUGUCAAAAGGGAAGCGUUUGACACCAGUGUUGUCUUUCUGAAAAUCAAUUAAAGAACUGUUUAUGCUAAGUUGUUUAGACUUUAUCAGCUAACUGUUUAGUUUUGAGCUUUUCUUUAAUGCACUUUUCAGUUAACAAGUCAACAUCAAUUUCUUUUGCUGUAAAAAAGCUUGAGGAAGGUGGCUUGAGAUUCGUCUUAAGUGUUUAUAGCCUCUUGCCUAUGCAGUCGGAGAGAUUGAGGUCUGCAGCGUAGAUCCUUCGGGGCUAAAUGCAUUUGUGCUAAGUUAUAGCAUUUUAUAGACAACUUGUUGACUAUGAUUUGUCUUGUAGCUUACUCGCUUAUGUUAUUUUACCUACGCUUAGGAUGUUGAGCGCAUGUCUCUCUCU
This 774-nucleotide ribosomal RNA is filed under the name uncultured Neocallimastigales. RNAcentral describes it as "partial large subunit ribosomal RNA". It matches the Rfam family "Eukaryotic large subunit ribosomal RNA", at positions 23 to 616 of the family's 3401-position model. The record is from RNAcentral. Lineage: Eukaryota; Fungi; Neocallimastigomycota; Neocallimastigomycetes; Neocallimastigales.